Molecule: ribosomal RNA, 398 nt
Filed under: uncultured bacterium
Lineage: Bacteria
Description: bacterial SSU rRNA
Rfam family: Bacterial small subunit ribosomal RNA
Source: RNAcentral
GACGAACGCUGGCGGCGUGCUUAACACAUGCAAGUCGAGCGGUAAGGCCCUUUCGGGGGUACGACGAGCGGCGAACGGGUGAGUAACACGUGGGUGACCUGCCCUUACGCUCUGGGAUAAGCCUGGGAAACUGGGUCUAAUACCGGAUAUGACUCCAUAACGCAUGUUGUGGGGUGGAAAGCCUUGUGCGGCUAGGGAUGGGCCCGCGGCCUAUCAGCUUGUUGGUGGGGUGAUGGCCUACCAAGGCGACGACGGGUAGCCGGCCUGAGAGGGCGACCGGCCACACUGGGACUGAGACACGGCCCAGACUCCUACGGGAGGCAGCAGUGGGGAAUCUUGCGCAAUGGGCGAAAGCCUGACGCAGCGACGCCGCGUGGGGAUGACGGCCUCGGUUGUAA